AAUCCCCUUCGAUCUGAUGUGAUCUGAACUGUUCUCUGCCUCUGCCGUCUGCUGUCUGCUGUCUCAGUAAACAAUGUAUAUGCAGCGGCUAAUUGCAUAUUUCGGAAGUUCGAUAAAGGCAUUGAAGGUGGACGAAUUCUAACGGUGUCCAUUAAUUAACCUCUAAAAGGCAAUGCCAGCCACCGAGAACAAUCUCUGAACUGAACUGAGCUGUUGCCGAGCAGCCAACUAACUGGAUUAGUCUGCA
Long non-coding RNA from Drosophila navojoa, 247 nucleotides. RefSeq lists it as uncharacterized. NCBI's taxonomy places the organism in Eukaryota, Metazoa, Arthropoda, Insecta, Diptera, Drosophilidae. The record is from RefSeq and is a predicted model, not a curated record.